UUUGAAUAUAUGCACCGGAGAAAUAUCUGAUUGUAAAGAAAAUUAAAAUAAAAAACCAAACAAAAAUGAACUAAAGCUUAUUUUCAUAACAAGCGUCAAGCUAAAUUUAUAGUCCAAUUUGAGCGAGGAAAAUGUAUUUAAUAUUUACAUCCAACGAGCUCGGCCUUCACGAAAAAAACAUGAGCUUGACAUUGUUGGUGUUACGAAGAGGUGGAUAUACUGGAGGAUAUAUUACUAUCAUGGCGAAAAAUUGUUGCGUCAUAUUGUAUGUAUGCAACGAAGAAAAGCAAAUACUCAUGUAGAUUUGCGGAAACCCGACGAGAGUGAAAGUUGCAACUACUUGGACUAUUUGAAAUUAUCUUACAUGAGAUGGUGAUACCUCAUGAGAUUACCGUUUUCGAUUUUGAGGAAUUGCCUGAGAAAAGUCUGUGGGACAAAGCUACCUAAUCAAUUCUACAAAUCUAAAGAGAGAAAACUGUGUACCGUGCAAUCCUAACAAAUUUAUGGAACGUACUUUCAAAGAAACUAACAACUUUGAUGAAUGUUAAUGGUUCUACGAAUCACUCUAGGUUCUAACUAUAGAAUACCAUGCUGUAAUUUUGGAAAAGUCUUGCUCUCUAUCUUAAAUACUACCAAGUUUCUCACAAUUCUCGUAGAAUAAAAAUUUUGAUUGAAUUUCAUUAAAGCUAUUUUAAUACGGCAGGCAAUUGAACAGGAACAAUAAAAAUUAGAUGGGAAUAAUAAAAUGAACCAUAAUCACAAGUCUGGCUGCUGAUUACGAUGCAUUUAAAAUAUAAAAGGAACAAACUGUUGAAAAUGAAAACAAAACAUAAAUAACAGAUUAAAACUAACA
Hermetia illucens (black soldier fly) is the source of this 853-nucleotide long non-coding RNA. RefSeq lists it as uncharacterized. The record is from RefSeq and is a predicted model, not a curated record. NCBI's taxonomy places the organism in Eukaryota, Metazoa, Arthropoda, Insecta, Diptera, Stratiomyidae. The transcript has 3 exons.